CGCCUACAGUUCUCAUACCUCAACUCGAACUUCUCGAAGUCUAGCUACAGAAUUUAACGCUCCUAGUCAAUAUAAAAUAUUAACCAGGCUCAUAUUGAAAUGACUAUCCCAAUAAAGUUACUUUUGGAGUCAAUAGGUGCGUUUUCCGGAAGAGGUUUGACUGUACAACUCAACUAUUGAAUGGUGCCAGUUUGAUUCCUUAUCAGAGGGCCAUUAUCGCUCUCGAGAACCACAAACUUUUGACUACGUAAGCAAGAAACCGGAAUGAAACGCAGUGGCCAGAUGGAACACGUAGGACCAACUUGGCAAAGACAAUCCGAACGGAAAGUAUCUCAAAUCAAAACAGAUAAGAACGAAAAACCAAACAUCCAACAGCUGUGCAUUGAAAACAACGGCCAGCAGGCCAUUCGAUUAAGUUGCUCGCUUGGUGAAAGUCUUUCGACCCAUUUAGUCGCUGUUUCGCUAUGACUAUAAAGAUAUUACAUGCAUAACA
Molecule: long non-coding RNA, 493 nt
Organism: Drosophila erecta
Lineage: Eukaryota; Metazoa; Arthropoda; Insecta; Diptera; Drosophilidae
Exons: 2
Source: RefSeq, a predicted model, not a curated record